Molecule: ribosomal RNA, 292 nt
Filed under: uncultured bacterium
Lineage: Bacteria
Description: partial 16S ribosomal RNA
Rfam family: Bacterial small subunit ribosomal RNA
Source: RNAcentral
GUGUCAGCAGCCGCGGUAAGACAGAGGUGGCAAGCGUUGCUCGGAGUUACUGGGCUUAAAGGGCGCGUAGGCGGUCGCGCACGUCGAGGGUGAAAUCCCCGGGCUCAACCCGGGAACUGCCUUCGAUACGACGCGACUGGAGUGCGGGAGGGGAGAGUGGAACUCCUGGUGGAGCGGUGAAAUGCGUAGAUAUCAGGAGGAACGCCGGUGGCGAAAGCGACUCUCUGGUCCGCAACUGACGCUGAGGCGCGAAAGCCAGGGGAGCAAACGGGAUUAGAUACCCGUGUAGUCC